UCAAAAACAUGGCCUUUUUUUAUUUUAAGGUCCGGCCUGCCCACUGAAAUUUGAAGGGCCGUGGUAUAUUGACCAUGCGAAGGUAGCAUAAUCAUUUGCCCUCUAAUUAGGGGCUGGAAUGAAGGGUCAGACGAGGAACAAUCUGUCUCUACUUUUAUUUUGAAGUUAAUUUUUUGGUGAAAAAGCUAAAAUUUUCUUGGAGGACGAUAAGACCCUAUAGAUCUUUAUAGGCUAAGGUUCUAUUAAUUGGAUGUUAAUUAAUAGGAUUCUCGCUUAUUUUGUUGGGGCGACGUUGAGAGGAGAUAGAUCCCUCAAUUUGGUUAAACAAACACAAUUGUUUAAAUGAUCCUUUAGUGAAUCAGGAUUAAGUUACCUUAGGGAUAACAGCGUAAUUCUUCUUGAGAGCUCAAAUCGACAGAAGAGUUUGCGACCUCGAUGUUGGUUCAGGGUCCCUACUAGGUGUAGCAGCUUAGAAAGGUAGUCUGUUCGACUAUUAAACCCCUACAUGAUCUGA
RNAcentral lists this ribosomal RNA (514 nucleotides) under Phallocryptus sp. ARW-2014. Its description in RNAcentral is "partial 16S ribosomal RNA". It matches the Rfam family "Bacterial large subunit ribosomal RNA", at positions 1807 to 2608 of the family's 2925-position model. The record is from RNAcentral. Lineage: Eukaryota; Metazoa; Arthropoda; Branchiopoda; Anostraca; Thamnocephalidae.